AUGGUUUUUUCUCAGACAUCCUCUCUGGCAGUAAAGCUUGCACAAGGACCCAAGCUCUUUACUACAAAGACAAUUCUCCCCAUGGAUCCCCCGGGUGUUGUCUCCUCUGAAAAUGCUGAAUAUGAUUUUUCUGAUGUUUUUGGUUCCAGUCCAGUCGAGACAGCAACAGAACUUUGUGUUGUUGAUCCAGACAGCCCUGCAGCUCCCAUUGAGUCCCCUGAGGAGGUUUAUAAUGAUCCUGCGGUCAUCUUCAAGCGGUCACAUUCUCUUGUUGGCCCAUCAUCACUUGUUAGCUGCUCUUUGGGACUUGGCAAGCUCACUCUAAACAUAGCAGAUGGAUCAUCAGAACUUGUAGGCCACACUACAGAAGAAAAGGAACUUAACCUAGAGCAGUUCAGUGAUGAAGAGUUUGGUGAUGCCGUGACUGAGGAUGAGGGUGUUGGGCUUGAUGACUUUGAAAUCUUGAAGCUUGUAGGCCAAGGGGCAUUUGGCAAAGUCUUUCAGGUGAGAAAGAAGGGUACUUCAGAAAUAUAUGCAAUGAAAGUUAUGAGGAAGGACAAGAUACUGGAGAAAAACCAUUCCGAGUACAUGAAAGCUGAAAGAGACAUACUGACAAAAGUUGACCAUCCUUAUGUAGUGCAGCUGAGGUACUCCUUUCAGACCAAAUAUCGACUUUACCUUGUCCUGGACUUUGUUAACGGGGGGCAUCUAUUCUUUCAGCUCUACAAGCAAGGAUUAUUUAGGGAGGAACUUGCACGAAUCUACACAGCUGAGAUUAUAUCUGCUGUAGCCCACCUCCAUGCUAAUGGGAUUAUGCAUAGAGAUCUUAAGCCCGAGAACAUCCUAUUGGAUGCUGAAGGCCAUGCCAUGCUAACUGACUUUGGCCUUGCGAAAGAAUUCCGUGAGAACACCCGAUCAAACUCGAUGUGUGGCACUCUCGAGUAUAUGGCCCCUGAAAUUAUUCAGGGCCAGGGGCAUGAUAAGGCCGCAGAUUGGUGGAGUGUAGGAAUCCUCCUGUUUGAAAUGCUGACGGGCAAGCCCCCGUUUGUCGGGAACAGAGACAAAGUUCAGCAGAAGAUAGUGAAGGAGAAGUUGAAGCUUCCUCCGUUUUUGACUAGCGAAGCCCACUCGCUGCUGAAAGGAUUGCUGCAUAAAGAAGCCGGCAAGCGGCUGGGAACCGGACCCGGCGGCAGCGACGAGAUAAAGAGGCACAAGUGGUUCAAGCCGAUCAACUGGAGGAAGCUGGACGCCCGGGAGAUCCAGCCGAGCUUCCGGCCCGACGUGGCCGGCCUGACCUGCAUCGCCAACUUCGACGUGUGCUGGACCAACACGCCCGUGCUGGACUCCCCGGCCGCCACCCCCGUCACUGCUGGCGGCGGGCAAGGCAACUUUGCGGGGUUCACCUAUGUCAGGCCCGCGCCGUUCCUCCAUGACCUGAAGCCGCCCUCAAGCUCUAGCUAG
This 1461-nucleotide ribosomal RNA is filed under the name Triticum aestivum (bread wheat). RNAcentral's name for it is "partial small subunit ribosomal RNA". Lineage: Eukaryota; Viridiplantae; Streptophyta; Magnoliopsida; Poales; Poaceae. The record is from RNAcentral.